Limulus polyphemus (Atlantic horseshoe crab) is the source of this 443-nucleotide long non-coding RNA. RefSeq lists it as uncharacterized. The record is from RefSeq and is a predicted model, not a curated record. The transcript is spliced from 3 exons. NCBI's taxonomy places the organism in Eukaryota, Metazoa, Arthropoda, Merostomata, Xiphosura, Limulidae.
ACCAGAUCUCAUUGUUACUUAUAAAUAUAAAAGAAACGACUUUGUAUAUAGCUGAAAACUUCCCCCUCGGAAAUCUAGAGAACAUCAACCAAAAGGUCGGUUAUUUGCGGUGAAGUAUGAAAACGACACUUGUUGUAGUUCUUGUCGUCUGCCUGUUGUUGGCUUGUUUCAUUCUUCCUGAAGUUGAAAGUCAGAAUGAUAGAGGAGGAUCAGAUCGUAGAAGAUAUGGUGGAGAAAAUGAUGGAGGAAUUAUUGGAGGAUAUGAUGGAGAAUAUCGUGACUAUGGAAGUUAUCAGGGCUAAAGUAAAAUUAUAAACGUCAACAGUUUAAGAUAAUCAGACCAGGAAUUUACAAGAGACUUAUCAUCUUGGAUUAUGUAUUUUCUAACAAAUGUUUACAGAAACUUGUUGUAUCUGGUGUAGGUUUUAUUUUGUAAAGUAGAA